GACGAACGCUGGCGGCGUGCCUAAUACAUGCCAGUCGAACGGUUUAGUUCCGAGAGGCUUGCCUUUUGGAACUAGACAGUGGCGGACGGGUGAGUAACACGUAGGCAACCUACCUGUCAAACCGGGAUAACCGCGGGAAACCGAAGCUAAACCCGGAUAAGCUCCUUUUUCGCAUGAAGGGGGAGUGAAAAGGUGCGACCUGAUGACAGAUGGGCCUGCGGCGCAUUAGCUAGUAGGUAGGGUAACGGCCUACCUAGGCGAUGGAGCGUAGCCGACAUGAGAGGGCGUACGACCGCACUUGGACUAAGGUACAGCCUAGAAUCCUACGGGAGGCAGGAGUAGGGAAGAUUCGGGGAGGAGGGAAAGCCUGACCGAGCAACGCCGCGUGAGUGAGGAAGGCCUUCGGGUUGUAAAACUCUUGUGUUUGGGAAGAAGGGAAAGGGUAGGACCCUUAUGUGACGGUACCAAAAGAGAAAGCCCCGGCUAACUACGUG
RNAcentral lists this ribosomal RNA (494 nucleotides) under uncultured bacterium. RNAcentral describes it as "partial 16S ribosomal RNA". It matches the Rfam family "Bacterial small subunit ribosomal RNA", at positions 28 to 507 of the family's 1533-position model. The record is from RNAcentral.